RNAcentral lists this non-coding RNA (113 nucleotides) under Asanoa hainanensis. Its description in RNAcentral is "TPP sequence". It matches the Rfam family "TPP riboswitch aptamer (THI element)". Rfam says of the family: Vitamin B(1) in its active form thiamin pyrophosphate (TPP) is an essential coenzyme that is synthesised by coupling of pyrimidine and thiazole moieties in bacteria. The previously detected thiamin-regulatory element, thi box was extended, resulting in a new, highly conserved RNA secondary structure, the THI element, which is widely distributed in eubacteria and also occurs in some archaea. The record is from Rfam by way of RNAcentral. Lineage: Bacteria; Bacillati; Actinomycetota; Actinomycetes; Micromonosporales; Micromonosporaceae.
GUCAGUCACAACGGGAGCUCGGAGCACCGGGCUGAGAGGGCGGCUGCACGCGCCGCCGACCGUCGGAACCUGGCCCGGGUAAUGCCGGCGUAGGGAGCUUCUCACGUGUCGAC